GGAUCGCCCUGAGCCAACCAGCUAGCUUAAUCACUUAAAUAAUUUAACAAUAUUCAUAACAAUACAAGACCUAACAACACAAACUAAACCAUUUUUUUACCUGAGUAUGGGAGACAGAAAAGGUUCAACCAAAGCAAUAGAGAAAGUACCGCAAGGAAAGCUGAAAGAGAGAUGAAAUAGCCCAUAUAAGCACCUUUGAUACCCCGAAACCAGGUGAGCUACCCCGAGACAGCCUAUAUAAUUUAGGGCUAACCCGUCUCUGUGGCAAAAGAGUGGGAAGAGCUCCGGGUAGAAGUGACAGACCUACCGAACCUGGUGAUAGCUGGUUGCCUAAGAAAUGGAUAGAAGUUCAGCCUCGCACGCCCCAAAUCAAGGAACAUAUCACCAAGAUACAUGAGAAAAGUACGAGAGUUAGUUGAAGGGGGUACAGCCCCUUUAACAAAGGAUACAACCUUUACAGGAGGAUAUUACUCCCCUAAUUAUAUUAGGCCGACCCAUGCCUACAUGGAAGAGAUUAUGCUAAAAUGAGUAACAAGAAGACCCAAUCUUCUCCCGCCACAAGUGUAAACCAGAUCGGACCAACCACUGGAAUUUAACGAGCCCAACCCAAGAGGGCAGUGUGAAUAAUAAAAACCUCAAGAAAACCUCACAACCAAGCAUCGUUAACCCCACACUGGAGUGCCAUUUUAAGGGAAAGACUAAAAGAAGGGGAAGGAACUCGGCAAACACAAGCCUCGCCUGUUUACCAAAAACAUCGCCUCCUGCAACUAGACUGAGUAUAGGAGGUCCAGCCUGCCCAGUGACUACGGGUUCAACGGCCGCGGUAUUUUGACCGUGCAAAGGUAGCGCAAUCACUUGUCUCUUAAAUAGAGACCUGUAUGAAUGGCUAGACGAGGGCUUAACUGUCUCCCCCUUCCAGUCAGUGAAAUUGAUCUAUCCGUGCAGAAGCGGGUAUAAUACUACAAGACGAGAAGACCCUUUGGAGCUUAAGGUACAAAAUUUAGCCACGUUAAACAACUCAAUAAAAAGCAAGAACUUAGUGGCCAUGAAAUUUUACCUUCGGUUGGGGCGACCACGGAGGAAAAACAAGCCUCCGAGUGGAUUGGGCCAAAACCCCUAAAGCCAAGAGAAACAUCUUUAAGCCGCAGAACAUCUGACCAAUAAUGAUCCGACUAGAGAGCCGAUCAACGAACCAAGUUACCCUAGGGAUAACAGCGCAAUCCUCUCCCAGAGCCCAUAUCGACGAGGGGGUUUACGACCUCGAUGUUGGAUCAGGACAUCCUAAUGGUGCAGCCGCUAUUAAGGGUUCGUUUGUUCAACGAUUAAAGUCCUACGUGAUCUGAGUUCAGACCGGAGCAAUCCAGGUCAGUUUCUAUCUGUAACGCUACUUUUUCCAGUACGAAAGGAUCGAAAAAGAGGGGCCUAUGCUUAAAGCAUGCCCCACCCCUAAUUAAUGAAAACAAAUAAACUAAGUAAAGGAAGGGCCAAAACCCCUACCGCCCAAGAUAAGGGCA
RNAcentral lists this ribosomal RNA (1514 nucleotides) under Exoglossum maxillingua (cutlips minnow). RNAcentral's name for it is "partial 16S ribosomal RNA". It matches the Rfam family "Bacterial large subunit ribosomal RNA", at positions 573 to 2925 of the family's 2925-position model. Lineage: Eukaryota; Metazoa; Chordata; Actinopteri; Cypriniformes; Leuciscidae. The record is from RNAcentral.